UGGCGAACGGGUGAGUAACAUAUCGGAACGUGCCCUGGAGUGGGGGAUAACUAGUCGAAAGACUAGCUAAUACCGCAUACGAUCUACGGAUGAAAGUGGGGGAUCGCAAGACCUCAUGCUCGUGGAGCGGCCGAUAUCUGAUUAGCUAGUUGGUGGGGUAAAGGCCUACCAAGGCAUCGAUCAGUAGCUGGUCUGAGAGGACGACCAGCCACACUGGGACUGAGACACGGCCCAGACUCCUACGGGAGGCAGCAGUGGGGAAUUUUGGACAAUGGGCGCAAGCCUGAUCCAGCAAUGCCGCGUGAGUGAAGAAGGCCUUCGGGUUGUAAAGCUCUUUUGUCAGGGAAGAAACGGUGAGGGCCAAUAUCCUUUGCUAAUGACGGUACCUGAAGAAUAAGCACCGGCUAACUACGUGCCAGCAGCCGCGGUAAUACGUAGGGUGCAAGCGUUAAUCGGAAUUACUGGGCGUAAAGCGUGCGCAGGCGGUUUUUCAAGACAGAUGUGAAAUCCCCGGGCUUAACCUGGGAAUGGCAUUUGU
This 538-nucleotide ribosomal RNA is filed under the name uncultured Oxalobacteraceae bacterium. RNAcentral's name for it is "bacterial SSU rRNA". It matches the Rfam family "Bacterial small subunit ribosomal RNA", at positions 96 to 630 of the family's 1533-position model. Lineage: Bacteria; Pseudomonadati; Pseudomonadota; Betaproteobacteria; Burkholderiales; Oxalobacteraceae. The record is from RNAcentral.